UACGGGGGGGGCAAGCGUUGUUCGGAAUUACUGGGCGUAAAGGGCUCGUAGGCGGCCAACUAAGUCAGACGUGAAAUCCCUCGGCUUAACCGGGGAACUGCGUCUGAUACUGGUUGGCUUGAAUCCGGGAGAGGGAUGUGGAAUUCCAGGUGUAGCGGUGAAAUGCGUAGAUAUCAGGAGGAACACCUGUGGUGUAGACGGCUCUCUGGACCGCAACUGACGCUGAGACACGAAAGCGUGGGUAGCAAACAGG
This 253-nucleotide ribosomal RNA is filed under the name uncultured bacterium. RNAcentral's name for it is "partial 16S ribosomal RNA". It matches the Rfam family "Bacterial small subunit ribosomal RNA", at positions 524 to 776 of the family's 1533-position model. The record is from RNAcentral.